UAAGGCAAGUUCCUCAACCUCUUUGUGCCU
This 30-nucleotide non-coding RNA is filed under the name Rattus norvegicus (Norway rat). Lineage: Eukaryota; Metazoa; Chordata; Mammalia; Rodentia; Muridae. The record is from RNAcentral.